GACGAACGCUGGCGGCGUUGCUUAACACAUGCAAGUCGAACGGUGACGAGGAGCUUGCUCCUCUGAUCAGUGGCGAACGGGUGAGUAACACGUGAGCAACCUGCCCCAGACUCUGGGAUAACAGUUGGAAACAGCUGCUAAUACCGGAUACGAGACGGAGAGGCAUCUCUACCGUCUGGAAAGUUUUCGGUCUGGGAUGGACUCGCGGCCUAUCAGCUAGUUGGUGAGGUAAUGGCUCACCAAGGCGACGACGGGUAGCCGGCCUGAGAGGGCGACCGGCCACACUGGGACUGAGACACGGCCCAGACUCCUACGGGAGGCAGCAGUGGGGAAUAUUGCACAAUGGGCGAAAGCCUGAUGCAGCGACGCCGCGUGAGGGAUGACGGCCUUCGGGUUGUAAACCUCUUUCAGCAGGGAAGAAGCGAAAGUGACGGUACCUGCAGAAGAAGCACCGGCUAACUACGUG
This 466-nucleotide ribosomal RNA is filed under the name uncultured bacterium. RNAcentral's name for it is "bacterial SSU rRNA". It matches the Rfam family "Bacterial small subunit ribosomal RNA", at positions 28 to 507 of the family's 1533-position model. The record is from RNAcentral.